CUCACAUUUAAAUUUGGAGCCGGUGAGUACACGAUUAGUAACCAAAUCAGUGUAAACUUUAAUUGAUUUAUCCGAAUAAGCUAAAUUAUUUUAAGUGAUCUUCUAUAUGAAUGGAAGCAAGCGUAUUGCUUCUUCAGGUGUGAUUUGCACCGAGCAAUCACUAAUUCGAUUGUCAAGACCUGAUAUUAACUGGAACUCAAUAACUAUUUUGCCUUAUUUGACAAGCUGUAAACAAAGCUGGGAAUCAAACAAGACCGCUAAUACUCAUUCAUUACCUUUUCAUUUAGAGAAUAAUAUGCCCGAUCGCUUUGACCUCAAACCAAAUCAAUGUAUUCUACCUCUAUUAAUAGGAUGGGAACCAACCAAAAUCAUGUUUCUAAAUUCAAAUGUGACUUAUUGACAAAACUAGUACUACUUAAGUCUCUCCCUUAUUAUCAAUGCUUUCAUAAUUCCAAAAUAAAGGAGAAUCCAACAGUCCAAAUUAUACAAGCCAAGGAUUACAAAUCGAUAGUGUACUUAAACAAACACGAGACAACCAUUAUCUAUUCUACAAUAACAACUCAGGCACAUAUUUUUCAAGAGAUAAAUGUUUCAUUUCAUUGCACAGCUUCAUCAAAACAUGCUUCAAAUGUGUACCUAAAAAUUGAAAUUUUCAACAGAAGAAGGAGAUCAGAACAGCAAUACAAUAGCAGUCAACAACAGUUCACAUCAGCAAUUCAAAUGAAGUUCAAAGCCCAAAAAAGUUUGAAAACCCAGCAGGAUCAACAGAACAACAAAUGUAAGAACACCAAAUCAAACGAGAAAACCAACCAAACUAGCUUGACUAACACCAAAUGUACUUGAAGAUGCACCAAACUACUUCAGUGAACCCAAACUCAACUAAAACUAUAAAAUGUGAAGAGAAUAACUGGAAAUCAGAAUCAACCUACAAUUACUCAAUGAAACAAUAGGUUCAUUUGGAUUUUCGAUAAUUUUUCUAUUUUUUUGGGUUUUCUUUGAAGACAACUCAGAUCAGUUUUUUCAAGACUCUCUAUCUCUGUGUGUUCAAGCUCUAAAGCUUUAAAAAACCGAUCUCAAAUUCUGCCUGAAGAACUGACUAAACUUAGUAUGUUCUUUCAAACUCUCCAACUCCUAAAAACUUAUUCCUCAAAAAAUAAAACCCCUUACUCUGCCCAAUUCUCCCUCUAUUUAUAUCCAAACUAAAGCCCUCUUCCAGCUCUUAAGAGCACUCACUUAUUAAGAAAAUGAACCCCUCCCAUCAAUAUUCCGUGAAUACCCCACUACUAAGUGUCCUAUUCUAUUUUUUAAUUCAAUUGUUCCCCACUAACAUAUGUCUUCCCUUAUUAAAUUCAAGCAGGUAUGGGCAGCCAUUUCUAAAUAUAGGCAUGCCCUGACAGUCCACGUUCUUCCUGAUUCUUUCCAACCCAUUCUUUAUUAAAUAAUGUCAUUAGUUUAAUAGUUCACUAGCAUUCAUAUGAACAAACCACUUAAACUGAGCAAGUUCACUUAAACUAACACUCUUUAAUGUGCAAUCUAGCAAUCAGAUAACAUACAAAUAAUCAGCUAAAAUUUUAGAGGUUAACUAAUAUGAUUUUCGGCUAAAAGGAUAGUCAUGCUAAAAUCGAAAUAAACAAUUGAUCAAAAGAAAUAAUUAAGCACAUUGAACGACAUAUGAACCAAAAAUUAACAGAACAAUAAUCAAAAUAGGCUUCAAACUUAAGACAAACCUUUGGGAAAUUUCAAACUAGCAUAAAAAGAAAGUAGAAGAGAAAUUUCAAAAAAAAAAUGACAACUAAAACAAACUGGAAAGGCAUAGAACUUACCCAUCAAAUUUGAACUCAGGAUCGAAUUCUCCGAAUUCCUCCAAUUUUCGGUCCAUUUCGACCUUAUUUGUGUGUUCUUAGCAAAACAAACGAAUAAAGUACAAAUACACCUAAUCCACUUAUAUGGAUUCCAACAACAACAACAACAACAACAACAACAACUACCCAAUAUAUUCCCACAAAGUGGGGUCUGGGAAGGAUAAUAUGUAGACGAGCCUUACCCCUACCCGAAAGGGCAGAGGGGCUGUUUCCAAUCGACCCUCGGCGUAUAGGAUAAAAAAGGAAAAGCUGUAUUAAGAAACAAAGGUAAAAUUAGAAACACAGGCAUGACAAAACAAAAUAAUAAAGCAUAAGUACUCCCGCAAAAAUAACGUAAAUAAUUAUGAAAACAUAAGCAACAUAAAUACAGUCGCAUGCAAUAAUAAGAAAAAGAAAAAGAAAAAGAAAAAGAUUCCAUUUCCCUAUUUUUGGGAUUUUAGGGUUUUCUUCUAAUCUAAUAUUCGAUAACGUAGGCCUAUAUUCGAGGGAGACUAGGCAUGAAUUUGGGGUGAGGGAGUCAAGUAGGUUACUGGAUGUUAGUUCGGGGCUUUUUGGAGGUGGUGCCACCAUCAGAAACUUUCAGGCGGCGCUAGGGUGGGUUUUGAUAAUUCGAGAAGAUGGGCUAAGAUUCGACGGAAGUGGAGUGUGGAUUUGGAGAGAAGAGGUCUCAAGGCUUGCGGGGUGUAUUUUUGGUAGGGUUUGGACAACCGGAACCUCCGUGAGGUGCUUUCCAGUGGGUAGGGGCGACGGAGGGAUUUUGGGGUCUCUGAAGGUUAGAGAUGAACUGAAUGGGGAGGGAUUUGGUUUUGGGGGAUAGGGUAUUUGAUUUAGGUAUAUUAAAAUUAAAUUAAUUAAUCUGGGUCGUUGGAUGUUGGGAUCCAAGGGCCUUGAUUUAUUCAUUUAAAUGAAACGGGGUCGUUUGGAUUCACGGUGGGGCU
This 2800-nucleotide long non-coding RNA is filed under the name Nicotiana benthamiana. Its description in RNAcentral is "long non-coding RNA (NBEN_LNC011454)". The record is from RNAcentral. Lineage: Eukaryota; Viridiplantae; Streptophyta; Magnoliopsida; Solanales; Solanaceae.